UGCUUAUAAAGGAGGGGAAACUCUGCUGUAAAGAAGGGAAGGAAACCCUGCCCGAGUAGGAGCCGAAAGCAAGCCGUUGGAAGGCACGAGCCCCUUGAAAUCCGUGCAAAACAGUAACCAAAACUGCAAGGUUUGGAUACAAAAAGGUCUCGGUUUUUAUAGAACAGUCCACUUGGAGCGACGUUUGGCCGUGAAUUUGUGCAACCAAGAAGUGGGAAGCUUCGAUCUGUCAGGCUCGGGCUCAAAGGGAGAAGGCCUAGAGGCGGCGCGAGUGUAGUUAUCUUGUUUAGGCGUCUCUUAUGAUGUUGUAGUAUGUUACAAGAUUUGUACUCUUAACUUUGACAAUAUUUUGUCUCGUGGAGAAUGAAGUCUACUUUC
Long non-coding RNA from Diospyros lotus (date-plum), 378 nucleotides. RefSeq lists it as uncharacterized. The record is from RefSeq and is a predicted model, not a curated record. The transcript has 3 exons. Lineage: Eukaryota; Viridiplantae; Streptophyta; Magnoliopsida; Ericales; Ebenaceae.